Sinocyclocheilus rhinocerous is the source of this 251-nucleotide long non-coding RNA. RefSeq lists it as uncharacterized. The transcript has 3 exons. The record is from RefSeq and is a predicted model, not a curated record. Lineage: Eukaryota; Metazoa; Chordata; Actinopteri; Cypriniformes; Cyprinidae.
GCCGAGCGGGAAGGUUGGUUUCAGCAAAGCCAUGUCCAACAAAUGGAUCCGUCUGGAUAAAGCUCAUGAGGGAGGACCAAGAGUCUUUAAAACCGUGGAAACGAUUGAGGAUACAGUAAGGGACAAACUACAGCUGGUGCAGAAGGGACUGUCGGCAAAACUAGAGGACAAAGAGAAGAAUGAACUCAAGAAACGUAAACUGCUAUCGGAAGUGACGGUUAAGUCAUACUGGAUCACUAAAGGCAGCAGCU